Gasterosteus aculeatus (three-spined stickleback) is the source of this 73-nucleotide non-coding RNA. Lineage: Eukaryota; Metazoa; Chordata; Actinopteri; Perciformes; Gasterosteidae. The record is from Rfam.
GCCCGGCUAGCUCAAUCGGUAGAGCAUGAGACUCUUAAUCUCAGGGACGUGGGUUCGAGCCUCACGUUGGGUG